UUAAGUAAGAAAGGGCGUACGGUGGAUGCCUAGGCACUUGAAACUGAAGAAGGACGCAACAAACGGCGAAACGCGGCGGGGAGCUGUACGUAAGCAAAGAUCCGCCGGUAUCCGAAUGGGGGAACCCGGCAUGCGUAAUAGCAUGUCAUCCGCAGAUGAAUACAUAGUCUGCGAGAGAGGUACCCGGGGAACUGAAACAUCUAAGUACCCGGAGGAAAAGAAAACAACAGUGAUUCCCUGAGUAGCGGCGAGCGAAAGGGGAGGAGCCCAAACCAGACCGAGGUCUGGGGUUGAAGGACCGCGAUACGGCAAGAAUCAUGGUAGGAGAACGGCAUUGAAAGGCCGACCGGAGAGGGUGCAAGUCCCGUAUCCGAAACCGUGAGGAAGCCCAGCGGGAUCCUGAGUACGGCGAGACACGAGAAAUCUUGUCGGAAGCAGGCGGGACCAUCCGUCAAGGCUAAAUAUAAGCAAGUGACCGAUAGUGAACCAGUACCGUGAGGGAAAGGUGAAAAGAACCGCGGGAGCGGAGUGAAAUAGAACCUGAAACCGUAUGCUUACAAGAAGUCAGAGCACGUUAAGGUGUGAUGGCGUGCCUUUUGUAGAAUGAACCGGCGAGUUAUGUUAUCGUGCGAGGUUAAGCAGGAGAUGCGGAGCCGAAGCGAAAGCGAGUCUUAAUAGGGCGGCAGUACGAUGACAUAGACCCGAAACCGUGUGAUCUAGCCAUGACCAGGUUGAAGUUCAGGUGAAACUGAAUGGAGGACCGAACCGACCCCCGUUGAAAAGUUGGCGGAUGAGUUGUGGCUAGGGGAGAAAUUCCAAUCGAACACGGAUAUAGCUGGUUCUCCCCGAAAUAGCUUUAGGGCUAGCGUCGAGGAUGAGUCUUGUGGAGGUAGAGCACUGAAUGUACGAUGGCCCCAUCCCGGGGUACUGAGUAUAAUCAAACUCCGAAUGCCAUGAGAUAUUCCCGGCAGUCAGACCGUGGGUGAUAAGGUCCAUGGUCAAAAGGGAAACAGCCCAGACCGCCAGUUAAGGUCCCAAAAUGUAUGCUAAGUGGAAAAGGAUGUGGGGAUGCACAGACAACUAGGAGGUUGGCUCAGAAGCAGCCAUCCUUCAAAGAGUGCGUAACAGCUCACUAGUCGAGUGACCCUGCGCCGAAAAUGUACCGGGGCUAAGCAUACUACCGAAGCUGCGGAUUUGUAGUAAUACAAGUGGUAGGGGAGCGUUCCAUGCACGUGGAAGCCAUACCGAAAGGAGUGGUGGAGAGCAUGGAAGUGAGAAUGCCGGUGUGAGUAGCGAGAUGCAGGUGAGAAUCCUGCACACCGAUAGCCCAAGGAUUCCAGGGGAAGGUUCGUCCGCCCUGGGUAAGUCGGGACCUAAGGCGAGGCCGAAAGGCGUAGUCGAUGGAAAACAGGCAGAUAUUCCUGUACCCGCGAUGGAAAUGAAGGAAUGACGGAGAAGGCUAGCAUGAGCCACUUAUUGGAUUGUGGUCGAAGCGAAUAGCAGGUGCAUAGUCAAAUGCGUGCACGGGAUGUAAAACGUGACAGGUAAGCGAAACCCCUGGGGAGUAGCGAAGCAUGCGAGGCCAGCUUCCAGGAAAAGUUUCUAGUGCUGAUUCCAUAGCGGCCCGUACCAAAACCGACACAGGUGGGCAAGGAGAGUAUCCUGAGGUGAGCGAGAGAACUGUUGCCAAGGAACUCGGCAAAAUGACUCCGUAAGUUAGCGAGAAGGAGUGCUUAUGAAAGUAAGCCGCAGUGAAGAGGCCCAAGCGACUGUUUAACUAAAACACAGCUCUCUGCGAAGUCGCAAGACGAAGUAUAGGGGGUGACGCCUGCCCGGUGCUGGAAGGUUAAGAGGAUUUGUCAGUUUCGACGAAGCAAUGAAUUGAAGCCCCAGUGAACGGCGGCCGUAACUAUAACGGUCCUAAGGUAGCGAAAUUCCUUGUCAGGUAAGUUCUGACCCG
RNAcentral lists this ribosomal RNA (1960 nucleotides) under human gut metagenome. Its description in RNAcentral is "bacterial LSU rRNA". It matches the Rfam family "Bacterial large subunit ribosomal RNA", at positions 3 to 1990 of the family's 2925-position model. The record is from RNAcentral.